UACGGAGUGUGCAAGCGUUACUCGGAAUCACUGGGCAUAAAGCGCACGUAGGCGGCUAGGUCCGUCCAAUGUGAAAGCCCCCGGCUCAACCGGGGAAUUGCAUCGGAUACAGCCUGGCUUGAGGACGGUUGGGGUGAGUGGAACUCCUGGUGGAGCGGUGAAAUGCGUAGAUAUCGAGAGGAACACCUGCGGCGAAGGCGGGUUGCUGGGCUGACACUGACGCUGAGGCGCGAAAGCUAGGGGAGCGAACGGG
Molecule: ribosomal RNA, 253 nt
Filed under: uncultured bacterium
Lineage: Bacteria
Description: partial 16S ribosomal RNA
Rfam family: Bacterial small subunit ribosomal RNA
Source: RNAcentral